AUCUUAGUACCCGGAGGAAGAAAAAGAAAAUUCGAUUCCCUUAGUAGCGGCGAGCGAAACGGGAAGAGCCCAAACCAACAAGCUUGCUUGUUGGGGUUGUAGGACACUCUAUACGGAGUUACAAAGGACGACAUUAGACGAAUCAUCUGGAAAGAUGAAUCAAAGAAGGUAAUAAUCCUGUAGUCGAAAAUGUUGUCUCUCUUGAGUGGAUCCUGAGUACGACGGAACACGUGAAAUUCCGUCGGAAUCUGGGAGGACCAUCUCCUAAGGCUAAAUACUCUCUAGUGACCGAUAGUGAACCAGUACCGUGAGGGAAAGGUGAAAAGCACCCCGGAAGGGGAGGGAAAUAGAACCUGA
This 357-nucleotide ribosomal RNA is filed under the name Staphylococcus aureus. RNAcentral's name for it is "bacterial LSU rRNA". It matches the Rfam family "Bacterial large subunit ribosomal RNA", at positions 200 to 553 of the family's 2925-position model. The record is from RNAcentral. Lineage: Bacteria; Bacillati; Bacillota; Bacilli; Caryophanales; Staphylococcaceae.